AACCACAGCCAAGGGAACAGGCUUGACGGAAUCAGUGGGGAAAGAACACCCUGUUGAGCUUGACGCUAGUCUGG
This 74-nucleotide microRNA precursor is filed under the name Loxodonta africana (African savanna elephant). Its description in RNAcentral is "miRNA (ENSLAFG00000032941.1)". It matches the Rfam family "Eukaryotic large subunit ribosomal RNA", at positions 2363 to 2436 of the family's 3401-position model. The record is from RNAcentral. Lineage: Eukaryota; Metazoa; Chordata; Mammalia; Proboscidea; Elephantidae.